UUCCCCCGGGGUUACGGGGGCAACGAUCAGCUGCUGCAUGCCUAAACCGUGCAGUUCACAGAUCAAACGCGAGUGGCCUGCGCCCGCAGGUUGAGAUAUGACCGUAGCAGCUCUGC
Molecule: ribosomal RNA, 116 nt
Filed under: Caloplaca cerina
Lineage: Eukaryota; Fungi; Ascomycota; Lecanoromycetes; Teloschistales; Teloschistaceae
Description: partial 18S ribosomal RNA
Source: RNAcentral